AUUGACGCUGGCGGCAGGCCUAACACAUGCAAGUCGAGCGGAUGAAGGGAGCUUGCUCCUGGAUUCAGCGGCGGACGGGUGAGUAAUGCCUAGGAAUCUGCCUGGUAGUGGGGGAUAACGUCCGGAAACGGGCGCUAAUACCGCAUACGUCCUGAGGGAGAAAGUGGGGGAUCUUCGGACCUCACGCUAUCAGAUGAGCCUAGGUCGGAUUAGCUAGUUGGUGGGGUAAAGGCCUACCAAGGCGACGAUCCGUAACUGGUCUGAGAGGAUGAUCAGUCACACUGGAACUGAGACACGGUCCAGACUCCUACGGGAGGCAGCAGUGGGGAAUAUUGGACAAUGGGCGAAAGCCUGAUCCAGCCAUGCCGCGUGUGUGAAGAAGGUCUUCGGAUUGUAAAGCACUUUAAGUUGGGAGGAAGGGCAGUAAGUUAAUACCUUGCUGUUUUGACGUUACCAACAGAAUAAGCACCGGCUAACUUCGUGCCAGCAGCCGCGGUAAUACGAAGGGUGCAAGCGUUAAUCGGAAUUACUGGGCGUAAAGCGCGCGUAGGUGGUUCAGCAAGUUGGAUGUGAAAU
RNAcentral lists this ribosomal RNA (576 nucleotides) under uncultured Pseudomonas sp. Its description in RNAcentral is "bacterial SSU rRNA". It matches the Rfam family "Bacterial small subunit ribosomal RNA", at positions 28 to 600 of the family's 1533-position model. The record is from RNAcentral. Lineage: Bacteria; Pseudomonadati; Pseudomonadota; Gammaproteobacteria; Pseudomonadales; Pseudomonadaceae.